UGAGUACGAGAUGCUACGGCAUCGAAGCAGUCUAUGUCAUACUUCCAAGAAAAGCUUGCACUGUCAUAAACAAAGAAUGCCUGUACCAUAACCGACACAGGUGGGUAGGUAGAGUAUACUAAGGGGCGCGAGAUAACUCUCUCUAAGGAACUCGGCAAAAUGACUCCGUAACUUCGGGAGAAGGAGUGCCUUAUUUCUAAGGUUGCAAUAACAAGAUCCAAGCAACUGUUUACCAAAAACACAGGUCUCCGCUAAGUCGUAAGACGAUGUAUGGGGGCUGACGCCUGCCCAGUGCCAGAAGGUUAAAGAAGUUGGUUAGCAUUAGCGAAGCUGAUAACUGAAGCCCUGGUGAACGGCGGCCGUAACAAUAACGGUCCUAAGGUAGCGAAAUUCCUUGUCGGGUAAGUUCCGACCCGCAAAAGGCGUAAUGAUUUGGAUACUGUCUCGGAGAGGGGCUCGGUGAAAUAGACUUGUCUGUGAAGAUGCGGACUACCUGCACCUGGACAGAAAGACCCUAUGAAGCUUUACUGUAACUUGAGAUUGAAAUUGGACUUUAUUUGCGCAGUAUAGGUGGGAGGCGUUGAGAAUAAUCUUGCGGGAUUGUUGGAGCCAUCAGUGAGAUACCACUCUUGUAAUGUUAGAUUUCUAACUUUGUAUCAUUAUCUGGUCAAAGAACAGUUUCAGGCGGGCAGUUUGACUGGGGCGGUCGCCUCCCAAAGGGUAACGGAGGCGCACAAAGGUUUCCUCUGAACGGGUAGAAAUCGUAUCUAGAGUGUAAAGGCAUAAGGAAGCUUGACUGUGAGACCUACAAGUCGAGCAGGGACGAAAGUCGGUCUUAGUGAUCUGACGGUGCUGAGUGGAAAGGCCGUCACUCAACGGAUAAAAGUUACUCUAAGGAUAACAGGCUGAUCUCCCCCAAGAGUUCACAUCGACGGGGAGGUUUGGCACCUCGAUGUCGGCUCAUCGCAUCCUGGGGCGGUAGUCCGUCCCAAGGGUUGGGCUGUUCGCCCAUGAAAGCGGUACGCGAGCUGGGUUCAGAACGUCGUGAGACAGUUCGGUCCAUAUCCGGUGUAGGCGUUAGAAUAUUGAGAGGAGCCUUCUCUAGUACGAGAGGACCGAGAAGGACAUACCUCUGGUGUACCAGUUAUCGUGCCAACGGUAAACGCUGGGUAGCUAUGUAUGGAGUGGAUAACCGCUGAAAGCAUCUAAGUGGGAAGCCCACCUCAAGAUAAGUAUUCU
This 1239-nucleotide ribosomal RNA is filed under the name metagenome. Its description in RNAcentral is "bacterial LSU rRNA". It matches the Rfam family "Bacterial large subunit ribosomal RNA", at positions 1564 to 2814 of the family's 2925-position model. The record is from RNAcentral.